GACGGAGGAUGCAAGCGUUAUCCGGAAUUAUUGGGCGUAAAGCGUCCGCAGGUGGUGGCUCAAGUCUGUCGUUAAAGCUCGGGGCUCAACCCCGAAAAGGCGGUGGAAACUGGGUAACUAGAGUACGGCAGGGGUAGAGGGAAUUCUCAGUGUAGCGGUGAAAUGCGUAGAGAUUGGGAAGAACACCAGUGGCGAAAGCGCUCUACUGGACCUGUACUGACACUCAAGGACGAAAGCUAGGGGAGCAAAAGGG
This 253-nucleotide ribosomal RNA is filed under the name uncultured bacterium. RNAcentral describes it as "partial 16S ribosomal RNA". It matches the Rfam family "Bacterial small subunit ribosomal RNA", at positions 524 to 776 of the family's 1533-position model. The record is from RNAcentral.